GAGGGGACAGGGCAGGCGCCCUUGGUAGGUGGGCGGACGCCCACUCCUGGUGUCCAUCCUGGGUGUGCUUCCUCCACUUGCUUCCUUGCUUUGAUCUCAUGCAGAAUAAUAUUGUGUUGGUGGUGGUUGGACGGUGGAAAGAUGUUAGGUAAGUGGAGACAUAUUGGUGGAUGAAAUUAUGUGAUGGGAUGUAUGUGAGGUGUGGUGUAUGACAUGUGGGACCCAAGGAGUGUGGGUCAUGCUUCUAGA
Molecule: long non-coding RNA, 249 nt
Filed under: Sorghum bicolor (sorghum)
Lineage: Eukaryota; Viridiplantae; Streptophyta; Magnoliopsida; Poales; Poaceae
Description: long non-coding RNA (SBIC_LNC017944)
Source: RNAcentral